GCCUCCGUAGCUCAGCUGGAUAGAGCGUCCCCCUCCUAAGGGGAAGGUCGCAGGUUCGACUCCUGCCGGGGGCACCA
RNAcentral lists this transfer RNA (77 nucleotides) under Gammaproteobacteria bacterium. RNAcentral's name for it is "tRNA-Arg". It matches the Rfam family "tRNA". From Rfam's summary of the family: Transfer RNA (tRNA) molecules are approximately 80 nucleotides in length. Their secondary structure includes four short double-helical elements and three loops (D, anti-codon, and T loops). RNAcentral also lists the same sequence under 3 other names. The record is from RNAcentral. Lineage: Bacteria; Pseudomonadati; Pseudomonadota; Gammaproteobacteria.